CUGGGCUAUUUGCUAAAAUAAACGUUUGCAGCGAAAGUGGUGGAAAGGGGCAUAAUGCACAUAAUAAAGCCGCUACUGUGAGAGACUGGAGCUAGUGCGACAGAAACUUGUGAUAACCCAUACGAAAGCAGCCAGGCCAAUAAUUCAAGAUGGCGACCAA
Long non-coding RNA from Nematostella vectensis (starlet sea anemone), 160 nucleotides. RefSeq lists it as uncharacterized. The transcript is spliced from 2 exons. The record is from RefSeq and is a predicted model, not a curated record. NCBI's taxonomy places the organism in Eukaryota, Metazoa, Cnidaria, Anthozoa, Actiniaria, Edwardsiidae.